RNAcentral lists this ribosomal RNA (490 nucleotides) under uncultured bacterium. RNAcentral describes it as "partial 16S ribosomal RNA". It matches the Rfam family "Bacterial small subunit ribosomal RNA", at positions 30 to 507 of the family's 1533-position model. The record is from RNAcentral.
AUUGAACGCUGGCGGCAUGCUUUACACAUGCAAGUCGAACGGCAGCACGAAAGAGCUUGCUCUUUUGGUGGCGAGUGGCGAACGGGUGAGUAAUGCAUCGGAACGUACCGAGUAAUGGGGGAUAACUGUCCGAAAGGAUAGCUAAUACCGCAUACGCUUUGAGAAGGAAAGUGGGGGCUCUUCGGACCUCACGUUAUUCGAGCGGCCGAUGUCUGAUUAGCUAGUUGGUGGGGUAAAGGCCUACCAAGGCGACGAUCAGUAGCGGGUCUGAGAGGAUGAUCCGCCACACUGGGACUGAGACACGGCCCAGACUCCUACGGGAGGCAGCAGUGGGGAAUUUUGGACAAUGGGCGCAAGCCUGAUCCAGCCAUGCCGCGUGUCUGAAAAAGGCCUUCGGGUUGUAAAGGACUUUUGUUAGGGAAGAAAAGGAUAGUGUUAAUACCAUUAUCUGCUGACGGUACCUAAAGAAUAAGCACCGGCUAACUACGUG